Molecule: ribosomal RNA, 411 nt
Filed under: Triticum aestivum (bread wheat)
Lineage: Eukaryota; Viridiplantae; Streptophyta; Magnoliopsida; Poales; Poaceae
Description: partial small subunit ribosomal RNA
Source: RNAcentral
AUGGAUCCCACGCGCAAACGUUGGCCCUGGAUCCCAGGCGCCAUCACUGUCGUCUCCGAGCUCGCCACCGACGGCGAGUUUCCUGAAUCGGUAAGCUGCCCGACACCCAUUCCACCGCCGCCGACCACCGGCUCGCCCCGCCCCCCUCCUCGAUCCACCGUGGCGGCGGCCUCCCUGCCUCUGUACAGCGCCUCCCUCCCCUGGAUCCAUGGCGGCAGCGGCCUCACUCCCCCUGGAACCACAACGGAGGCCUCCCUCCCCUUGAUCCACGGCGGAGGUAGCCUCCUCUGCUUCCAACGCGUCCAUUCUACUACAUGCCAUAAUCCCGUCCAACGUCGUCCACCUUCUGUCCAUUUUGAAGUUCAAUUUGUUUCUGCCCAACAUGUAGUAGCCUGUGCUGUGGCAACUUGA